This 252-nucleotide ribosomal RNA is filed under the name uncultured prokaryote. RNAcentral's name for it is "partial 16S rRNA". It matches the Rfam family "Archaeal small subunit ribosomal RNA", at positions 475 to 726 of the family's 1478-position model. The record is from RNAcentral.
ACCGGCGGCCCGAGUGGUGGCCACUAUUAUUGGGUCUAAAGGGUCCGUAGCCGGUUUGGUCAGUCUUCCGGGAAAUCUGACGGCUCAACCGUUAGGCUUUCGGGGGAUACUACCAGGCUUGGGACCGGGAGAGGUAAGAGGUACUACGGGGCUAGGAGUGAAAUCUUGUUAUCCCUGUGGGACCACCAGUGGCGAAGGCGUCUUACCAGAACGGGUCCGUCGGUGAGGGCCGAGAGCUGGGUGUACGAACCG